AUGCUUGUUGUGGCGGGGUCGGUGGUGGACGUGUGCACUUCCAGAUAUCUACCAAAAAGAUCCAACAGAAUACCAAGACAUCAUCGACGAGUGAGAGAGGAGAGGUUAGGUGGCGCUGAUUUUUGUCUUAGGGAAGAUAAUAAGGUGCGGGCCCCGCUUAGCAGUGUGACAGUGAAGGAGGGAGAUGACUUGGCCAGUCUUGGGCCAUGUAAAAGUGAAGCAGGCCGGUGCAGGCUGAGUCGUGCUGGGCUAGAAAGGAAAGGAGAGAGAAAGAAAGGCGGGCUAGGUCUGGUUUCAGGCCGGUUUGAUUGUUGGGUGGAGGAAAAGAAGAGGCAGAGUGGUGUCUAG
RNAcentral lists this ribosomal RNA (348 nucleotides) under Triticum aestivum (bread wheat). RNAcentral's name for it is "partial small subunit ribosomal RNA". Lineage: Eukaryota; Viridiplantae; Streptophyta; Magnoliopsida; Poales; Poaceae. The record is from RNAcentral.